CCGUGCUUGCCCGCCGCAUUCCGUUUUGCUUCAUGCGGUGUCCGCCCCCACAAUCACCUUCCCCUCCGCGCUCACAGGUGUAUAGGUCUCGCCUCACCCUCAGGCGGCACACCUUNACCACGUCCAACAACUCCACCUCCGCCCCCAACGCCACCCCUCUCACCCCGGACGAUUUCGUUCAGGACGCGCCGGUUGCGACGGCACAGGCGCCGGCCGCGACGCCUGUCGCCGAUCUGAUCGACGGGGUUACCGUGACGCCGCUGGUCGCGCAUGGAGACAACCGCGGCGCGCUGAC
RNAcentral lists this unclassified non-coding RNA (295 nucleotides) under Hevea brasiliensis (rubber tree). Lineage: Eukaryota; Viridiplantae; Streptophyta; Magnoliopsida; Malpighiales; Euphorbiaceae. The record is from RNAcentral.